RNAcentral lists this ribosomal RNA (2925 nucleotides) under Escherichia coli. Its description in RNAcentral is "23S ribosomal RNA". It matches the Rfam family "Bacterial large subunit ribosomal RNA". Lineage: Bacteria; Pseudomonadati; Pseudomonadota; Gammaproteobacteria; Enterobacterales; Enterobacteriaceae. The record is from RNAcentral.
GGGUUGUGAGGUUAAGCGACUAAGCGUACACGGUGGAUGCCCUGGCAGUCAGAGGCGAUGAAGGACGUGCUAAUCUGCGAUAAGCGUCGGUAAGGUGAUAUGAACCGUUAUAACCGGCGAUUUCCGAAUGGGGAAACCCAGUGUGUUUCGACACACUAUCAUUAACUGAAUCCAUAGGUUAAUGAGGCGAACCGGGGGAACUGAAACAUCUAAGUACCCCGAGGAAAAGAAAUCAACCGAGAUUCCCCCAGUAGCGGCGAGCGAACGGGGAGGAGCCCAGAGUCUGAAUCAGUGUGUGUGUUAGUGGAAGCGUCUGGAAAGGCGUGCGAUACAGGGUGACAGCCCCGUACACAAAAAUGCACAUAUUGUGAGCUCGAUGAGUAGGGCGGGACACGUGGUAUCCUGUCUGAAUAUGGGGGGACCAUCCUCCAAGGCUAAAUACUCCUGACUGACCGAUAGUGAACCAGUACCGUGAGGGAAAGGCGAAAAGAACCCCGGCGAGGGGAGUGAAAAAGAACCUGAAACCGUGUACGUACAAGCAGUGGGAGCCUCUUAAUGGGGUGACUGCGUACCUUUUGUAUAAUGGGUCAGCGACUUAUAUUCUGUAGCAAGGUUAACCGAAUAGGGGAGCCGAAGGGAAACCGAGUCUUAACUGGGCGUUAAGUUGCAGGGUAUAGACCCGAAACCCGGUGAUCUAGCCAUGGGCAGGUUGAAGGUUGGGUAACACUAACUGGAGGACCGAACCGACUAAUGUUGAAAAAUUAGCGGAUGACUUGUGGCUGGGGGUGAAAGGCCAAUCAAACCGGGAGAUAGCUGGUUCUCCCCGAAAGCUAUUUAGGUAGCGCCUCGUGAAUUCAUCUCCGGGGGUAGAGCACUGUUUCGGCAAGGGGGUCAUCCCGACUUACCAACCCGAUGCAAACUGCGAAUACCGGAGAAUGUUAUCACGGGAGACACACGGCGGGUGCUAACGUCCGUCGUGAAGAGGGAAACAACCCAGACCGCCAGCUAAGGUCCCAAAGUCAUGGUUAAGUGGGAAACGAUGUGGGAAGGCCCAGACAGCCAGGAUGUUGGCUUAGAAGCAGCCAUCAUUUAAAGAAAGCGUAAUAGCUCACUGGUCGAGUCGGCCUGCGCGGAAGAUGUAACGGGGCUAAACCAUGCACCGAAGCUGCGGCAGCGACACUAUGUGUUGUUGGGUAGGGGAGCGUUCUGUAAGCCUGUGAAGGUGGCCUGUGAGGGUUGCUGGAGGUAUCAGAAGUGCGAAUGCUGACAUAAGUAACGAUAAAGCGGGUGAAAAGCCCGCUCGCCGGAAGACCAAGGGUUCCUGUCCAACGUUAAUCGGGGCAGGGUGAGUCGACCCCUAAGGCGAGGCCGAAAGGCGUAGUCGAUGGGAAACAGGUUAAUAUUCCUGUACUUGGUGUUACUGCGAAGGGGGGACGGAGAAGGCUAUGUUGGCCGGGCGACGGUUGUCCCGGUUUAAGCGUGUAGGCUGGUUUUCCAGGCAAAUCCGGAAAAUCAAGGCUGAGGCGUGAUGACGAGGCACCACGGUGCUGAAGCGACAAAUGCCCUGCUUCCAGGAAAAGCCUCUAAGCAUCAGGUAACAUCAAAUCGUACCCCAAACCGACACAGGUGGUCAGGUAGAGAAUACCAAGGCGCUUGAGAGAACUCGGGUGAAGGAACUAGGCAAAAUGGUGCCGUAACUUCGGGAGAAGGCACGCUGAUAUGUAGGUGAAGCGACUUGCUCGUGGAGCUGAAAUCAGUCGAAGAUACCAGCUGGCUGCAACUGUUUAUUAAAAACACAGCACUGUGCAAACACGAAAGUGGACGUAUACGGUGUGACGCCUGCCCGGUGCCGGAAGGUUAAUUGAUGGGGUUAGCGGUAACGCGAAGCUCUUGAUCGAAGCCCCGGUAAACGGCGGCCGUAACUAUAACGGUCCUAAGGUAGCGAAAUUCCUUGUCGGGUAAGUUCCGACCUGCACGAAUGGCGUAAUGAUGGCCAGGCUGUCUCCACCCGAGACUCAGUGAAAUUGAACUCGCUGUGAAGAUGCAGUGUACCCGCGGCAAGACGGAAAGACCCCGUGAACCUUUACUAUAGCUUGACACUGAACAUUGAGCCUUGAUGUGUAGGAUAGGUGGGAGGCUUUGAAGUGUGGACGCCAGUCUGCAUGGAGCCGACCUUGAAAUACCACCCUUUAAUGUUUGAUGUUCUAACGUUGGCCCGUAAUCCGGGUUGCGGACAGUGUCUGGUGGGUAGUUUGACUGGGGCGGUCUCCUCCUAAAGAGUAACGGAGGAGCACGAAGGUUGGCUAAUCCUGGUCGGACAUCAGGAGGUUAGUGCAAUGGCAUAAGCCAGCUUGACUGCGAGCGUGACGGCGCGAGCAGGUGCGAAAGCAGGUCAUAGUGAUCCGGUGGUUCUGAAUGGAAGGGCCAUCGCUCAACGGAUAAAAGGUACUCCGGGGAUAACAGGCUGAUACCGCCCAAGAGUUCAUAUCGACGGCGGUGUUUGGCACCUCGAUGUCGGCUCAUCACAUCCUGGGGCUGAAGUAGGUCCCAAGGGUAUGGCUGUUCGCCAUUUAAAGUGGUACGCGAGCUGGGUUUAGAACGUCGUGAGACAGUUCGGUCCCUAUCUGCCGUGGGCGCUGGAGAACUGAGGGGGGCUGCUCCUAGUACGAGAGGACCGGAGUGGACGCAUCACUGGUGUUCGGGUUGUCAUGCCAAUGGCACUGCCCGGUAGCUAAAUGCGGAAGAGAUAAGUGCUGAAAGCAUCUAAGCACGAAACUUGCCCCGAGAUGAGUUCUCCCUGACUCCUUGAGGGUCCUGAAGGAACGUUGAAGACGACGACGUUGAUAGGCCGGGUGUGUAAGCGCAGCGAUGCGUUGAGCUAACCGGUACUAAUGAACCGUGAGGCUUAACCUUACAACGCCGAAG